Molecule: transfer RNA, 68 nt
Filed under: Pyrhila pisum
Lineage: Eukaryota; Metazoa; Arthropoda; Malacostraca; Decapoda; Leucosiidae
Description: tRNA-Val
Source: RNAcentral
AAAAUAUAGCUAAUUAUAAGUAUUUCACUUACGUUGAAAAGAUUUAAUCUUUGAGAUUAUAUUUUGAA